Molecule: ribosomal RNA, 253 nt
Filed under: uncultured bacterium
Lineage: Bacteria
Description: partial 16S ribosomal RNA
Rfam family: Bacterial small subunit ribosomal RNA
Source: RNAcentral
UACAGAGGGUGCGAGCGUUGUCCGGAAUCACUGGGCGUAAAGGGCGCGUAGGCGGCUUGAUAAGCGUGCGGUGAGAGCCCGGGGCUCAACCCCGGGUCGGCCGUGCGAACUGUCGAGCUGGAGCACUGUAGAGGCAGGUGGAAUUCCGGGUGUAGCGGUGGAAUGCGUAGAGAUCCGGAAGAACACCGGUGGCGAAGGCGGCCUGCUGGGCAGUGGCUGACGCUGAGGCGCGACAGCGUGGGGAGCAAACAGG